This 1230-nucleotide ribosomal RNA is filed under the name human oral metagenome. RNAcentral describes it as "bacterial LSU rRNA". It matches the Rfam family "Bacterial large subunit ribosomal RNA", at positions 769 to 2021 of the family's 2925-position model. The record is from RNAcentral.
GAGGACCGAACACACAUCCGUUGAAAAGGGUGGUGAUGAGGUGUGGAUAGGGGAGAAAUUCCAAUCGAACCCGGAGAUAGCUGGUUCUCCUCGAAAUAGUUUUAGGACUAGCCUUGUUUUAGUUUCAUGGAGGUAGAGCUCUGAAUUCUUAAGGGGGCGUCAAAGCUUACUAAGAGAUAUCAAACUGCGAAUGCCAUCGAAAUGAUGAACAGGAGUCAGACUGCACGAGAUAAGUUGGGUAGUCAAAAGGGAAAGAGCCCAGACCUACAGCUAAGGUCCCAAAGUAUGUGUUCAGUGGAAAAGGAUGUGAGAUUUCAGAGACAACUAGGAUGUUGGCUUAGAAGCAGCCACACAUUCAAAGAGUGCGUAAUAGCUCACUAGUCGAGAGGUCUUGCGCCGAAAAUGUCCGGGGCUAAAACACAACACCGAAGCUUAGGAAUGUAGCAAUACAUUGGUAGAGGAGCAUUUUUAUAGGCGUAGAAGCUGUACCGAUAAGGAGCAGUGGAGUAAUAAAAAGAGAGAAUGCCGGAAUGAGUAGCGAGAUGAAGGUGAGAAUCCUUCAGGCCGAAUAUCUAAGGUUUCCAGAGUAAAGCUGAUCUGCUCUGGGUAAGUCGGGACCUAAGGCAAGGUCGAAAGACGUAGUCGAUGGACAACAGGUUUAGAUUCCUGUACCGCUUAUUAUCAGAAAUGUGGGGACACAGAGACGUAUCCAAACCCAGGAAUGCAAAGACUGGGGCAAGCCAAGUACUGGUAUGGUAGGAAAAUCCGCCAUGCAACAGGAAUAGGUGAUGCGGACCGAAAUUAAGUAGGGAAGUUGGAGAAGGAGCUGUCAAGAAAAGCCGCUAUUGUGUAAUAAGUGCCCGUACCGUAAACCGACACAGGUGGAUGAGGAGAGAAUCCUAAGGCCGGCGGGAGAAGCAUUGUUAAGGAACUCGGCAAAAUGACCCCGUAACUUCGGGAGAAGGGGUGCCAUCCUCCGGGAUGGCCACAGAAAAUAGGCUCAAGCAACUGUUUAGCAAAAACACAGGUCUAUGCGAAACCGAAAGGUGAGGUAUAUGGGCUGACGCCUGCCCGGUGCUGGAAGGUUAAGAGGAGAGGUUAGCGCAAGCGAAGCUUUGAAUUUAAGCCCCAGUAAACGGCGGCCGUAACUAUAACGGUCCUAAGGUAGCGAAAUUCCUUGUCGGGUAAGUUCCGACCCGCACGAAAGGCGUAAUGAUUUGAGCGCUGUCU